This 596-nucleotide ribosomal RNA is filed under the name Dorylaimoidea environmental sample. RNAcentral's name for it is "SSU rRNA". It matches the Rfam family "Eukaryotic small subunit ribosomal RNA", at positions 1024 to 1643 of the family's 1831-position model. Lineage: Eukaryota; Metazoa; Nematoda; Enoplea; Dorylaimida. The record is from RNAcentral.
UUCUAACCGUAAACGAUGACACCCAGCGAUUCGUCGGCGUUAAUAUAUGACCCGACUAGCAGCUUCCGGGAAACCAAAGUUUUUCGUUUCCGGGGGAAGUAUGGUUGCAAAGCUGAAACUUAAAGGAAUUGACGGAAGGGCACCACCAGGAGUGGAGCCUGCGGCUUAAUUUGACUCAACACGGGAAAACUCACCCGGCCCGGACACCGUAAGGAUUGACAGACUGAGAGCUCUUUCUUAAUUCGGUGGGUGGUGGUGCAUGGCCGUUCUUAGUUGGUGGAGCGAUUUGUCUGGUUAAUUCCGAUAACGAACGAGACUCUGGCCUAUUAAAUAGACGGAAUAUCACUUAAGUAUUCCGCGCUUCUUAGAGGGACAAGCGGCGUCUAGCCGCAUGAAAUAGAGCAAUAACAGGUCUGUGAUGCCCUUAGAUGUCCGGGGCUGCACGCGCGCUACACUGAAAGAAUCAGUGUGCUCAUUCGCCUAGUUCGGAAGAACCGGGUAACCCAAGUAAAUUCUUUCGUGCUUGGGAUAGGGAAUUGCAAUUAUUUCCCUUAAACGAGGAAUUCCCAGUAAGUGCGGGUCAUAAGCUCGCGUUG